AAAAAGAGGUUGUUUGAAAGGAUUACUUUUAGAAUUUGUAUAACUUUAUUUUCUUUUGACAGUAGCUUUUGAAAUUGAUUUUAUUGGUAGUAACUUUAAAUAUUUAGAGUCACCUUUCCUAGACAUUGGUGAUCCUUAAAGUCUUAUUUUGGUUCUUUAAUUUGGUGUUUAAACCAUAUAUUGACUAAAUCUUAUAAAGAAAAUAAUUGGAGAGGAAUU
Molecule: long non-coding RNA, 219 nt
Filed under: Physcomitrium patens
Lineage: Eukaryota; Viridiplantae; Streptophyta; Bryopsida; Funariales; Funariaceae
Description: long non-coding RNA (PPAT_LNC003501)
Source: RNAcentral